GAUUCAACUUAAAACGAGUGGCGGACGGGUGAGUAACACGUGGGUAACCUGCCCUUAAGUGGGGGAUAACAUUUGGAAACAGAUGCUAAUACCGCAUAAAUCCAAGAACCGCAUGGUUCUUGGCUGAAAGAUGGCGUAAGCUAUCGCUUUUGGAUGGACCCGCGGCGUAUUAGCUAGUUGGUGAGGUAACGGCUCACCAAGGCGAUGAUACGUAGCCGAACUGAGAGGUUGAUCGGCCACAUUGGGACUGAGACACGGCCCAAACUCCUACGGGAGGCAGCAGUAGGGAAUCUUCCACAAUGGACGCAAGUCUGAUGGAGCAACGCCGCGUGAGUGAAGAAGGCUUUCGGGUCGUAAAACUCUGUUGUUGGAGAAGAAUGGUCGGCAGAGUAACUGUUGUCGGCGUGACGGUAUCCAACCAGAAAGCCACGGCUAACUACGUGCCAGCAGCCGCGGUAAUACGUAGGUGGCAAGCGUUAUCCGGAUUUAUUGGGCGUAAAGCGAGCGCAGGCGGUUUUUUAAGUCUGAUGUGAAAGCCCUCGGCUUAACCGAGGAAGCGCAUCGGAAACUGGGAAACUUGAGUGCAGAAGAGGACAGUGGAACUCCAUGUGUAGCGGUGAAAUGCGUAGAUAUAUGGAAGAACACCAGUGGCGAAGGCGGCUGUCUGGUCUGUAACUGACGCUGAGGCUCGAAAGCAUGGGUAGCGAACAGGAUUAGAUACCCUGGUAGUCCAUGCCGUAAACGAUGAAUGCUAGGUGUUGGAGGGUUUCCGCCCUUCAGUGCCGCAGCUAACGCAU
This 797-nucleotide ribosomal RNA is filed under the name Lacticaseibacillus casei. Its description in RNAcentral is "bacterial SSU rRNA". It matches the Rfam family "Bacterial small subunit ribosomal RNA", at positions 77 to 860 of the family's 1533-position model. The record is from RNAcentral. Lineage: Bacteria; Bacillati; Bacillota; Bacilli; Lactobacillales; Lactobacillaceae.